UUAGGGUCACACAAUUAACUGUAAUCUGGAUCACUAAAACACCAAGAAAUACUACAAUGCUUCCUUCUAGGACCAAUACUCCUUCAUCAACUGAUAACCACAAUGUGCAACCCUACACUCUUAAAAGACUGUUCAAAACACAAUAAUUUCCACCCAAUAUCAGGAUUAACAAACUUCACUCCAACCAAUCUGGAGUCACAAAAUUUCUGUAAUCAUAGACUUCUUCUAUCCAAAAUACACACAACUCUUGAUAAACAAAAAUCAUAAUCUUUCAAUCAUUAUUAAUCUUCCAAUAACUUUUCAUAUAAUUCAAUCCAUAUAAUACUCCAAUUACAUAAUCAAUAACUCAUAAAUCAAUCUCUGAUUUAUUCCACAGACUCACUUCUCAACAUUCAAAAACUAUCCAUUACUCUUCAACAAUAAAGACAACAAAGAAAACAAAGAGGUAGCACCAAGCUUAACUUCGGCUCAAGACUAUCAUAGUUUGGCCCCCCAAAAAACUUCUACAACUUAUAUAUAAUUACUACUGAUUUCCAGAUCCUAA
Molecule: long non-coding RNA, 544 nt
Filed under: Physcomitrium patens
Lineage: Eukaryota; Viridiplantae; Streptophyta; Bryopsida; Funariales; Funariaceae
Description: long non-coding RNA (PPAT_LNC012170)
Source: RNAcentral